GGCUAAGAUAAUGGGGAUGCUGCGUGCUGCGGGCAGUGGCAUUUGGAGGGGGAACGGCCGGGAGAGGAACCGGAGGGUCAUUCGUGUCCAGUGUCUGUGCCGUGAGGCACCUGGCACGGCGCAUCCAAGCUCCGGCAUGCCAGCCGCGCUGCGGGGAUGGCACGGUGCCACGAGGACGCGGUUAGACGUCUCGAAUUGAAGCAAACGUCUGCUGUUGAGCCGUGGGAUCUUGCCACGUGUCCGGGUGCUCUGUCCCGCAGGCAGGUCCGCCGGCUGGAGUUCAACCAGGCCAUGGAGGACUUCAAAACCAUGUUCCCCAACAUGGACUACGACAUCAUCGAGUGCGUCUUGAGGGCCAACAACGGCGCCGUGGACGCCACCAUUGACCAGCUCCUGCAGAUGAACCUGGACAGCAGCGGCUGCGACGACAGCUCGGAUUCGGAGGACAGCAUCCCCCCCGAGAUCUUGGAGCGGACCCUGGAGCCAGACAGCUCGGAUGAGGAGCCCCCUCCCGUCUACUCCCCUCCCGCCUACGAGAGCCAGGAGUUUGGCAACCGCUACCCCCGCGCGCCACCCACCCCACCGCCCAGGACAGACGUGCCGGGACCCGGCAGCACUCCAGCGCCCGGGCGCUACAGGAACUGGAACCCACCGCUCCUGGGCAACCUCCCCGAAGACUUCCUCCGCAUCCUUCCCCAGCAGACCACUGGCACACAGGGCUCCCACAGCUGCCGGCAGCCCGUGCCGCGGGGGCUCGCCCCGCGGGGUCAGGGCUCCCUGGAGCAGGAGCGGCGGUGGAAGCAGUACCUGGAAGACGAGCGGAUCGCGCUCUUCCUGCAGAAUGAAGAGUUCAUGAAGGAGCUCCAGAGGAAUCGGGAUUUCCUCCUCGCCCUGGAGAGAGAUCGAUUGAAAUAUGAGUCAAAAAAAUCCAAGUCGACCAGCGUUGCUGUCAGCAACGACUUUGGUUUCUCCUCCGUAAUAUCAGGUGACGUAGCCCCCUCUGUAACCAGCGAGGCCGGCGGUGCCGUGUCUGACGAUGCCUUAUUCAGAGACAAAUUGAAACACAUGGGAAAAUCCACGCGCAAGAAGCUGUUUGAACUCGCCAGAGCCUUCUCCGAGAAGACGAAGAUGAGGAAAUCAAAAAGAAAACACUUGUUGAAGCACCAGGUGCUGGGAACGGCGGCUUCCACGGCAAAUCUUCUCGACGAUGUCGAAGGACAUUCAUGCGAUGAAGACUUCCAAGCGCGGAGGCAGCAGCUCCGGGAGGAGGAGGAGACGCCGAAGGAAGGGCAGUAAACGGUCCCAGCACUGGGGUUUAUUGCUGGCACAGAACGUGCACAAGGCUUCAUAAGAAGAUGGCUGAAAAAGGAAAAAAAACACCCAACAAACAACCCAGUUUUUUGGCUGUUCCCCCUCUGCUGUUGUACUCCUCUGAAGUACAAGUAUUGAAGUGAGGCACAAUGUUUUCUUACCAGUGGUUUGAAAACAACUUCUAUCUAGCAAAUCAGCCAAAAAGGAAAAAAAAAAAGGAAAAAAAAGUUCGGCAGCUGAUGUGAGCGGCUCUGGAAGAGCCAGAGGAGCUCAGACUUGGGAGGAGCAGCGUCCCGCCUGCUCUCUCGGUCUGAGCGGCGUCGCAGAAGGAAUGAAAAUCAGUUGUACUAACGAGGAUGCAUUCACAUGUGGGAUCUGCUUGGCUGGAGCACUCCUGAACAUAUCUCUGUAGCAAUCUGAUGUAACUUUACUCUGCGCACACAGGAAAAAAACCACCGCGUGAGAAAGAGAACCUAACAGCUGUUGUCUACUAUUGCUAGGAGUAAUAAGCAGAGAUUCAGAUCAGGUAAUAGUCAAAUAAUAUAAAUUGUUUAUAAAAAGGAAAGGCCUUCUUUUCGUAGGCGUUUCACUUUGAAUUAAACCUUUGCCUUCGGCAUUGCUAAAACUGCCUUGAAGUACGGACGCUUUGUGCCGCCACGGGGCAGCACCAAGGGCUGGAUUUCGCAUCAGUUUAACCCUCACUGCCGAAGCAGGACACGUCCCACCGGGUGCAGCGUGCCGGUGGUGGUCCCGGCUGCCGGGCAGGGCGCUCGGUGGCUCCAGAGAUGCCCCCCCGCCGUAGGAGGUGGCUAUAGACGUGCCUGUUUCACUUUCUGGCUCCCGCGAACCAGCACAAAUGUUGCAAGAUCGGAGCUGCGAAGGCGGCAGACGCAGAAACCCCAGCCAUCAAACACACACGCAACUGUUUUCCCUGCCUCUCCGCGGGGUUUGGUAACAAAAGCCCACAUUGCAGGCGCUGGCUCCCGACAGGCUCCUUUUCAAACCCGCCCGGAGCCUGCAUGCCUUUGAAGCGGACGCCAAGAUUUCUUUCCCGGCGAGCGGUGCAGCCGGUGCACCUGUUGAGCGCCGCUGCCGUCGCCCUCGCAGCCGCGGUGGGGAUCGGUGGGCACCCGCGUGUUUUGCCUUUUCCCUGGUCCCUGGCCACGGCCGGGGGUGCUUCAGGGUGUCGGGGGCUGCAGGGUCUGGGUAAUGUCCCGUUAGCACAACGGAAGCGUCGCUGGCAGCACCGGGGCUUGGCCAAAGCCCGGGGUGCUGAUGGCGAGGGUGGGAUGUGCAGGGCUGGAAGCACCCCAAGACGCCAGCGAGCUUUGGGCUCCUAAAAUCAAGGCAGCAGAAGACCCAGCCCACCGAGCUGAUCGCAGCUUUGGUGUCCACUCCUUUUCUUUUGAAGGAAAAGAUUGAGGAGCACCGUGGCAGCCCAGCCAACGGGUUAGAGCCGUCCCAAGCCACGCUGGCCUUGCUUCGACGUGUGCAGGCUCUGAGCCUUCCCUGCUCCCUGUCGGGUGGAGGGAGGUGCUGGAGAGGCACGGCGUGAUUUGCACUGGGCUGCUCUGCACCAUGUGGGGUAAGAUGGGCGCCUGGAGGGACGCGUGUCCCUGCCUGGGUCGGGGCGCAAGCGUGGGGCCGCGGGCGCGAAGGACUAAGUGUGAAGCUGGGGCUUUGCCGCUGGGAACAGAAGGUCCUUUAGUCCCUGGGUGGGACUUUUAUUCCCAGCCUGAGACUGGUGGAGAGAGAGGAGGGGCUCCUUUCCUACCCUCCGCUGGCUCUGGGGUCCGUAGGAGGCUGCCGUUAUUCCCUCCCAGUCUAAAGCAGCUCUCUGCAUAUUUGGAAGAAAAUCAAGCUUGGAACCAGAUCAGCUUGUCAAUGUUCCAGCGCCUCUUAGCUACCGAGGGCUUAACUUUCAGCGAAGUUUCCAUGAACGCAGGAAGCACCGACAGGCAGUCGGGCAGGAGCUCAGGCUCUUGCAGGAAGGAAAUUCUGCUUCUCCCAGCCAAGGAGGUUGUUACUGGAGGGCUGGUCUGGUGCGUGGGGAGGAGAGGCAGCAAAGCACUUGUGCCCAGGUGCUUGCAGCUUGUCUUCCCGCUGCUGAGCCCCUGGAGGGUUUGCCGUGCUCCUCGUCCUCGCUGGAGGACGGGCUGCGUUGUGCCGUGGCUGCGGAGGAUCGCGUUGAGCUCUCUUUGGCAGUCUAGUGCUGGGCAAGCCACGUUUCGCAUCAUGUCACAGGUCAGUCCUGCUGGAACCGCUGGCUUUAAGUGGCGUUAGUGGUAAACGUCGCCGUUCCUCCUCUCCCAUCUGCUCAGCCUGCACGUUAGUUGACAUGUUGCCUCCGAGUCAUCUUUGUAACCCAGCCGUAGUUUGCUGGUGGAGAGGAGCCCGGAGACAGCAGGCUGCCUCUGUUUUUUGCUUUGGGCUGGUCUGGCCGAGCACAUCCCUGAGGUCUCCGGCAUCCUCUGCUCCCUGCGAUGCUACCAGGGACCUGACGGAGCCCGCACAGGGGAGCAGGGCUGCAGUCCUGCGAGAAAACAGGGAGAGGAAGGGCAGCUCGGGGGGCUGCGAGCUGGAGCGCAGGGGCCGUGGGGAGGGGACGGGUGUCAGCGUGCAACCUCCGCUCGCCGCACGUGGUGGGUGUGAACCCCCCCCCAAGCCUCGCCGGCUCUGUCUACCCUGCCAGCAAAGGUUUUGUGUUAGUUGGGUCUGGCAACGCGCGCUAAUCGUGAAGGGUCCCGGGCCAAGAGCGGGCACUGCAGCCGUGAGCACACAGGGUUGGGAGCGGGCUGGCAGCCUAUGCUUUGCAGGGGCUUGGGGAUGUCUUUGCUAAACGGUCUAACAACUUGCCCUUAAAUAUCCUAGGCUAGGCAAAGCCUCUCUGAAUGAUGUCACUCUGUAGCCAUUUCAAAAUAUCUUGGAGGCACAAAGCAUCGUUUUAAUGGAGGAUGAAGAGUGAUUGUUUUUUGUGUCCUUU
RNA transcript from Haliaeetus leucocephalus (bald eagle), 4294 nucleotides. It is a transcript of the gene named CUE domain containing 1, with no coding region annotated. Lineage: Eukaryota; Metazoa; Chordata; Aves; Accipitriformes; Accipitridae. The transcript is spliced from 13 exons. The record is from RefSeq and is a predicted model, not a curated record.